GCGCACUUAGAGAUUAUAGAGAAAAAGGAAUACAAUCCAUUCCUCUUAAAACAAAGGUUUCAUAUAUACAUGUCCCAAGAUAACCCCGUAAUCCAUUCGAUCUUCUGGAUAAGAGAUAAAAAUAGAAAAGCUGAAUGAUGCAAAAUAUUGCAAUCAUUAAUAAACAAGAAAAUCCAUUGAUUAUUUAUAGAAUAUAUAACAUAA
This 204-nucleotide long non-coding RNA is filed under the name Mytilus galloprovincialis (Mediterranean mussel). Lineage: Eukaryota; Metazoa; Mollusca; Bivalvia; Mytilida; Mytilidae. The record is from RNAcentral.